Molecule: ribosomal RNA, 275 nt
Filed under: uncultured bacterium
Lineage: Bacteria
Description: partial 16S ribosomal RNA
Rfam family: Bacterial small subunit ribosomal RNA
Source: RNAcentral
GCGUGAGUGAUGAAGGCCCUAGGGUUGUAAAGCUCUUUCACCGAUGAAGAUAAUGACGGUAGUCGGAGAAGAAGCCCCGGCUAACUUCGUGCCAGCAGCCGCGGUAAUACGAAGGGGGCUAGCGUUGUUCGGAAUCACUGGGCGUAAAGCGCACGUAGGCGGAUUGUUAAGUGAGGGGUGAAAUCCCGGGGCUCAACCCCGGAACUGCCUUUCAUACUGGCAAUCUCGAGUUCGAGAGAGGUAAGUGGAAUUCCGAGUGUAGAGGUGAAAUUCGU